CGAGCAUGUGAUCCUAUCAUGUGACCGAGCUGCAGUGGAGCGGUAAAUUCAAAUAAGCGAAAUCCCGGAUCCUUCGAUUGUGUCAGGCUGCGUCUUCAUAGCACCUGCAACUAAUUCUCGUUGUUGCCAAUUCGUAGCAAUUUGGAACUAGACACAACCCUGCAAUAUUGAUCGGGAAGAGACAGAGGCCUGAAACGGAAACAAAACUAUGUCCUGCCCAUCUACUCACUGGUCAGCAAAUCAGAGAGCCGGACUGCACUGCUUUGAAUGGCGUGUUCCUAACUGUGUUCAGUUCUGCGGAUGUUUGUGUCUGCCAGGAAGUUCUUUCAUCUCCAAAAAGUGUGACACAUGUUGUGUUUGAAUAGGCAAUGAAUUUUCCUAAAGGGAUUCUUCCUUCAUGAUUUAUGGGAUACAUAUAAAUCACUAUAUAAAGAUGAAUGGGAUCAAGCACUAAACAGUUAAUUGUGUCACAUGAUAGUUCACAUGGUGUUAAAGGUAUUUAAUGCAAUUGUGUUCACUUGAUUUUUAUUGCACCUGAGGAAGGGGUUGACCCCGAAAGCUUGUGCCAACUCUGCUGAAUAAAUGUUCUAAA
Molecule: long non-coding RNA, 592 nt
Organism: Xenopus laevis (African clawed frog)
Lineage: Eukaryota; Metazoa; Chordata; Amphibia; Anura; Pipidae
Exons: 3
Source: RefSeq, a predicted model, not a curated record